Molecule: long non-coding RNA, 3008 nt
Organism: Aethalodelphis obliquidens (Pacific white-sided dolphin)
Lineage: Eukaryota; Metazoa; Chordata; Mammalia; Artiodactyla; Delphinidae
Exons: 3
Source: RefSeq, a predicted model, not a curated record
UUUCCUUUCUUAAAAGUUGCUGCUAGGGCUUAAAGAGGUGGGAGAGAGGAGGGCCUGGGGCCCUGGAAGGUGCCUGGUGGUGACCUUUUAGGUCUAGUUGAGGAGGGGUGAGGGUUCUGACUCCGAUUGGUAGGCUUUGGCAGCUUAUUUUGUUUUGUUUGUUGUUGUUUUCCUGGUAGCCGCAAGCAUCCUGAAUCAGGGGACGUGGGGCUGCUUUGAGAAGAUUACUGAACACGAACCCUCCCUUGUUGAAGGCUACUGUCACCUGUUCUUUCAGGGAAUUUAUCCAUUUCUGAAAAAUCGAAGGAGAGUGGUGUGGAAGCAGGCGACAGUUUGCCAGAGGUUUGGGGCAGAGGUAUAGGUUUUGAAUGGGUAACGAGGGCAAAUAGUUUUUGUGGAACUUCUUCCUUUUUCUGGAUGGAGGUGACUGGUAAUGAGUUCUUAAUACCAGCCCUCCGAACUAAGUUGAUUGCUUGCUUGUUAAUAAUCUGAUUUAGCACGUGAGGAAACUCAUAGUUUCCUAAAGCCACAAAAAUCCAUCAGUUGCACCUGUGUUACCACUUAAGCAAUGUGUUCAAGGUUAGGAACCAAGCUGUGUGAAGCUCUGAAUUGAAGAAGGAUGAGGUGGUUUUUUGCAAGUGAAAUACCAUCACAGAAUUUUCAUGUCGCUGUCCUUCUUCCAGAAAUUGGCAUUACAGAAAUAGAGUACUUUGAUAUCUUGCUAUUGAAUGAAACUUGGCAAAAUAACAAAAUUGGGUCAUAGAAAUUCUCUGAUAGCUCAUAUUGAAACUAUUUUCAUUCAUUAAUUUGUAAGUCUGAAAUAUAGAAAGACAUUUGGUGAGAGUAUUAAAUUAUGUAAACUGUACUGAGAAUAUUGGUAACAUAUUUGGUGCUGAACUUGCCAAGAUAAACCAAGAAUAAAAUGUGAACCUUUGUGGAGGUGCAGAAAUAGGUCAUUUCAUGAACACAGUAGAUGACUAAAAGGCCCAGUUUAAAGGAUAUAAUUUAUAGAAGUGUAGUUGUGUUAGAUGAUUUUUAUUAAAGCACCAUCAUAAAAGAGCACUGGAUUAUGAGUCAGAAGAUCAAUUUCCAAUCCCAGUUCUGCCUUUUAAGAAACAUGUGAGUUAGAACAACUCAUAUAGCCUCUGUUAUGCAAUGUUUACUCAUCUGUAAACAUACUAACUGACCUGUCAGCCUUAUAAAGCUCUUGUGAAGGUAAAAUGAAAUGUAAGGGCUUACUAAAUUACGAAGUUUUGAACAUGUUAAGUAUUAAGAAGUGGAGUACAAUUUGCUAUCUUUUUCGCCAGAUCUUUUGGAAGGGUUUGAGGUAAUAGCUCUAAAACUGCUUUUAUUUCCUACUUUAAUAAUGCAAAUUACUUUUGCUCACCUAAAAACCUACUCUAUGUGAUUUCCAAUAAUAAGAUAGUUACUAAUUUUCUUUCACUGAAAAGUGUGUAUGCCUGACUAUAAUUAAAAUUAAUGGUACUAUUAUCAGUAGUUUAAUACAUAACAAAAAUGAACUGUAACUACUCUUAAGUCCAUCAAAGGAAGUGAGGACUUCAUUCAUACCGUCUGGCAGUGGUUAGUUCUCUUGGUCCUUUUUUUAGAAUCCAGACCUUUUCCUUUGAGUAUAGAGGAAGAAAAUGACAUAUGGGCUCAGACCUGUCUUUCAUAAAUAAAUAACUUGAACUGAAACUUGAGUAACAUUUAUUUGUCACCUAUUUGAAAUGCAGAAAUCUCAUUGUUACAGUAUGUAAGAAGAAUAAAUGUGCUAACACAAUUGAAUUAGCAUGGUAAUUGUGACUUCUGUCCUUGGGCAGAUAGAUACACUGAAGUUAUGUUGGAUUAGAUCCAAUAUCAUUUUAAACAACUUGAUGGAAUAGCCAAAUUUAUUUAUUUUUUAAAAUUUUUAUUACAGUAUGUUUGCUUUACAAUAUCAUGUUAGUUUAUGCUGUAUGGCAAUGUGCCUUUUCCUGGGGAAAAUAUUUGUCGCUGACAUCUCUUUCUCUAGGGGAUUCUAACCUGAAAAAGGUUGAGAAGCAACGAAGUAGAUAAUAGGUACUGUAGACAUAAGAGUAAAGAAAGGGAUGUUGUGAACUGGACUGGUAUCAUUGUCUCCUUUUGUAGUCACCUAGACAGAUGAGACUGUGUUAUAGGCAAAAAUUGCCAGCUACCUUAAAAAUGCUCUCCAUUGUGAAUGGCUUUACAUCCUAAAGCAGAAUUACAGAUCAGAGUCUCUGAGGCUUUGCUAGUGUUGACAAAUGUAUUGUGAUUUUUUAACCAAGAUAUUAAUAAUAGUUCAAAUUUUGUUUUUUAAAUAUCACCUGACAGUAGUCUUGUAUGUCCUGGCUUGCUAGUAGAAUGUUGUCUUACAAGAAGUAUUUUAUGUAAGGAAUGCUUAUCGUUCAUCAUUUGAUGCUAUUUGAGGAUCAGUUCUGAGCAAUUCACUAUGAAAGUUAAAAUGCAAAAAGAGAAAUAAGAGUUGAGCUGGCUUUGAAUUCCUUCUUGUUCUUCUAUUCACAGUUAAUUACCCAUCUCUAGGCUUCAGUUUUCACAUCUGUACAGUGAGGGAAGUUGACAAGCGAUCUCUAAGGUUUCUUUCAAUUCUGAAGAUCUCCCUGAGUUUCUGUGUUCCCAAACUCUACCUCCCAGACAUACACAAGGGAUGAUGAAGAUGCUGGGAGCUGAAAAAGAGGAAAGUUGGUAUAGGAUUCCCUGACGGUUUCUCUGGAGUAAAUUGAGGUUAUGUUUUUGACAACACCACCGUAUAAGUAUGCUGUACUCUUCCCAGUUCAUCAUUUCAGAAGAACACCUAUUUAACUUGAAGUUUGCUGCAAAGGAACUUAAUAGGAAUGCCAAGAAAUGUGAUAAAGAAGAAAAGGCUGAAAAGGCCAAGAUUAAAAAGGUAAGUAAUUUUUUUGUGUGUGUGUGGUAUGCGGACCUCUCACUGUUGUGGCCUCUCCCGUUGCAGAGCACAGGCUCCAGACACGCGGGCUCAGUGGCCAUGG